Molecule: non-coding RNA, 693 nt
Organism: Hemibagrus wyckioides
Lineage: Eukaryota; Metazoa; Chordata; Actinopteri; Siluriformes; Bagridae
Source: the annotation of a RefSeq genome assembly
UCACCCACAGCAACCAUGACUUUGAUCAGCGUCUUCAUCUGCACACUGGCCCUCUGGACUCAAGGAUCCAGAGGUCAGGUGACUGUGACUCAGACUCCUUCAGUGCAAACUGUUGCUCCAGGAAACACCGUCACCAUCAACUGUAGAACCAGUAGCAGUGUGGCUGCUGGUAGUGCUCUACACUGGUACCUGCAGAAACCUGGAGAAGCUCCUAAACUCCUGAUCUACUUGGCUACUAACUUAAAGUCAGGGAUUCCAGAUCGUUUCAGUGGCAGUGGAUCUGAUACUGACUUCACUCUGACCAUCAGUGGAGUCCAGACUGAAGAUACAGGAGAUUACUACUGUCAGAGUUACCAUAGUGGUGGAGUGUUCACACAGGGCGCCGUAUCAAGUCUGACCCUGCGCUCUGGCCCCAACCUCCAAGGAUGGGAAAGACAGACUUUCAGUGUGCUGGUGCAGUGUGACAUCAUACAGAUGUGGUUUAAGAAUGCUCGUCAGAGGGACAGGAAUCCCGUGACGACUCCGAGGAAAGACGAGACCAGUAGGUGGCAGUCGUGUUUCGUGUACAUUGAAAUUGAUCAACAUAACGUGGUGCAAUUGGUGUAUGAUAUCAAACCCGCUGCUAUGUACAGUCCUGUAAACUCGUGCACUCUGAAGCUCGCUGGACCGAACAAGCAGAUGUGCGUCCGCUGA